UAUUUCCGCCCAAGCUUUCUCGGACCCAGUAGCUGAAUAUUUCAUCUGUAGCUAGCUAAUUACCCUAUGAUUAACCGCAAAGCUUGACGCCAGUCCAACCCUGGAUGAUCGGGAAGCAAGGCUGCUCGAGUUAGGCUCUGUGAUUGUAAUUACGCCUCGUGGCAUAUCCGCACCCCAGUGACUCAAAUUCCAUCACACUCGAUUCUCGCUGUUCCUAGGACACAGGUGAUCGGACGACCCAGAUCUAACUGACAUAGGCAAACGGUAUGCGAUUGAUUCGCAGGUAAGCACUUAAGUAACCUGGAUGCGAAGAGGAGACGCAUCACUCAGUCAGCACUUGUGUAAAACCAGGAACACUAAAGGAUUGUACAGCUAUCCAUCUUCGUUGGACAUUAACUUUACAACAAUGGAAGGUAGCGGCCCUCUCGAUGGUGUGGUUAUUGAUUGGAACCUGCGCGUGGCAGCUGGAGUGAGUGGAAGAGUCGCUCCAGUGUAUAUACAUACAUCUGGGACCAGCCCAAAUCAUGGAUAGGAAGGGAAAGUUGAGCCAGUCACGUGACACAACGCGGGAAGGAGGAGGAGGAGGCGGACGAGAGGCAGGGAGGCAGUUUCUGUCCCCGGAAACAACAAACCUUGACAGGGCCCCAAGUUUACAUGGAUUACACGCUCAGAGCUCCACGGAAACAAGCGGAUUAGGGGAAACCAUCACUUCUGGUUUUUCCUCUCAGGAAAGUAUACACAGUUUAAGAGGUUCGACCAGGACGAGGGGGGAUACGGGGGGGUUGAGUCUUACCCCAGAGGAAGCUGAGGCUCAUAGACGUGAGUUGCAAGCGCGGGGGACAGGGAGGGGGGAUAUGAGAACGGAUAGUAAGAAAAAUAAAGACCGGUCCAGGAUGAAUGACCAUUACAACAGCGGUCCUGGACAUUCGAACUAUAACGAGUACUUCGCCCAGGGGACGACGGUCAUGGAUACGCUAUCCCCAAUGGGGCUCCAAAGGGAGCAUAUUGAUGAGGAGUGGGACAAACGGAGUGGGAGCCGGAGGAGUUCCGCCAUCAGCAGGUCAUCCCAGGGCGGAUCCAUAAAGUCCCGGAGCUCCGUCAGGGCCAAGUUUCUUGGAGCCUCUUUAGGGUCCCAGUGGGCCAAAUGGUCGAAUGACAGACGUGCGUCUUUUCGACGCCGUAUCGAAAUGAUAGAGAAUUCCGAACGGAAAAAAGAAAGAACUUCCACGCCUGUUAAAAAGGCAAGACAGGAAGGAUUAAAAUUCGUUCAUCCGGAUUUGGAACGGAAGUACCUUUCGGAGGAUGACAUCAAGGAGUUACGCAGGCACAAGCAGGAGCAAUACAACGCUUAUCGUGUGAUUGAGAAAGGGAAAAAGAAAAGUCGGUUUACGUCUGCUGAAGUUCAGUUGUCGAUGCAUCAGUGGCAUGUGCUGAGCGAAUUCUGGGAACACGAGGUGUUUGUACGGUUACGAUGGCUUGGCGUGUUCGUCAGCAUGGUGACGACCUUAGUGAUGAUCAUCAGUAUAACUAACGCCAACUGGCACGCAUACGAGCUGAAACCACCGCACAGUGUCUUGAAUUUGUCAAUAUACGAAGGAUUAUGGGUGAACUGCACACAUUCCUCCAAUGCAACAUCACCAGAUUUUAUAUGCAAUGCAACGAGCGGAAGAGACUGGCAGAAUGCUGUGGUGGGGCUGAUGAUAUUUGCUGCGACGUUUGGCUUCGUGGCGUCAAUGCUGUCUAUAUGUGGCGUAUGCACCACCCCUCUCCCAAGGAAAAUUUACUACUUCCAUUCCGCCGGAGAAAUAUUCCUCGUCUGCGCCUUAAGUACAGGCGUCGCCUUGAUAAUCUUCCCCGUGGCAGUAGAACUAGAUCAUACCAUCCUCUCCCACCGGUACGGCAUCGGCUACGGCCUUGGCUGGGGAGGUGCCUUCUUCUUCUUUGCAGCCGCCAUUUGCAUGACCUUGGACGAGUUGGUGCGAGAGUCGGCGAGAGUUAAGUGUUGCAAGUGGUGUUGGAAAGGCAGCGGCUCUGAGAGGACAGAAUUACGCCAAGUCUGAUAGGACGCUGCCUAUUUGUUGAGGCUGGAGGCCUAUUAAAUGCUCAUGAUGUGUGAACAUAUGUUCGACAGUUUCGUGAUCGGACCAAGACAAUCCAGUUGCAUAUUACAAUCCUUUUCUUGUCUGAAAAUAUGGAUGGUUUUGCGAAUCUUGAGGCAUAGAAAGAAACAAUAAGUUCGAGUCAUCGUUAUGAUAGGAAAUCAUUUAAGAUAAAAGAGUUCAAUACAGGGUGCAAGAUAUGGUAAUAUGAAAUCACGGGAACAAACAAGGAUGUUUUGAAAGGACGUGUGACUAGUUUUGUUAAAUUGUUAAGUAGUUGUGUCUAAUAGCAUGUGACGUCACGCCACGCCCUGUCUUGUCAGGAGUUUUGUGUUGGGAAAAGGUUAUUUCAGUGACUUGUCAUUCGGAACAACUCGGGUCAUUCCGAGAGGUCUCGGAAAGGGGCGAGUGGUGGCGAAUGUUGCGCUUGUUACCUUUUCAACAUGGGCUCCUGAACCUUGGACCCAGGAUGAAAUAUCAGAGCAUACUACCAGUAUUUUCUGUCCUUUGGGCUUAUACGUGAGCAGUACAUACGUGAACAUGAUACAAGCCCACUGGGCUUAAACUUGAACAUGAUACAGGUCCACCGAGUUUAUUCGUGAACAGGAUACAAACCCAAUGGGCUUAUACGUGAACAGGAUAUCAAGUCCACGGGUUUAUACGUGAACAGGAAACAGUCCACUGGACUUAUACGUGAACAGGAUACAGGUUCACCGGGUUUAUACGCAAACAGGACAGAAGCCCACUGGGCUUAUACAUGAACAGGAUACAGGUCCACCGAGUAUAUUCGUGAACAGGAUACACGUCCUCUGGGUUCAUACUCAAACAGGAUACAAGCCGACUGGGCUUAUACAUGAACAGGAUACAGGUCCGCCGAGUAUAUUCGUGAACAGGAUGCACGUCCACUGGGCUUAUUCGUGAACAGGAUACAGGUCCACCGAGUAUAUUCGUGAACAGGAUACAGGUCUAGUGGACCAAUACAUAAACUCCUUGUACCCGUUGAUCCCUUCUGAACAGACGCUGUGACGUAUAUCGUGUGUGGGUCAACCAUUUUUAUAGGACUUCUUGAAGGAAUAUUACCCACUGGAGUAUGUCCCAGAAUUUUGCCUUUCAACCACUGAAGAGGAGAUUUCAUAUUUAUUUUCAAUUAUACUCAAGGUGGAGUGACGACCGUGUUCUCCAAAGCCACUGUGAUGUCAUUGUACUGUGGUUCCUCUGGUGCUUGGUGAAGCGACCAGGGUUAGUGUACACUGUAUCGUGUAGGUACCUACACCUUUCAUCACACGACCUAUUGUUAUCUUUUGACUUUUUAACAUUGUCAUUGACCAUUGUAGCUUACGAUAGGACCUUUUUCAGUCCAUGUAGUUCCUGUUUUGUAAUCAUUUUUUAUACGGCAGAGUAAGUAGGUGUUUGCGAUAGGAAUACAAUGAGAUUAGUUCGCCAGCCUAGACGAGUUCAGUGGUAGUCCCUGAAUGGAAGCUCGAAAAGUGCAUAAUCAAACAAACGGAAUGUGAUUAUUUUAAUAAUGCUCUAGUCAGUGUUGUUGACACGAGAGUUAAACUGCAUAAUAGUUAGACCGUUUUAUUUCAACACAAGACGAGGCAAAAGUGAUGCUAGGGCUUCUGAAACUUGGUAAGAUCAAGGUGGAGAAUAGGUCUUAAGCAACCCAUGCUUGCCGUAAGAGGCGACUAACGGGAUCGGGUGCUCACUGUCUUGGUUGAUGCAUGUUAUCGUAUCCCAAUUACGUGGAUCGAUGCUUAUGAUGUUAAUCACUUGAUUGUCUGGUCCAGACUCGAUUAUUUACAGACCGCCGUCAUAUAGCUUGAAUAUUGCUGAGUGCGGCGUUAAACAAACAAACAAACAAACACGGUUACCGCUGGUCGUGGGUAUCGUUCCCGAAGUCGCAUAUGUCAGCGCAAGGGACUUGACUGACCUUUGCACCGAACUUGCAAAGUCUACGACCUCAUUCAUUGUAGAUCUGACCCCGUGUGUACCUUAAAUCCUGUUCAAGACGAUGUAAAGCCUAACUUACUCACCCCCCCCCCCCCUUAAUCAGUUUGUUGUGGCCUUGAAUUAUUUUAAUUUGCAUAUCCAACUUUAUCAAAAUCCCAGACGCCAUAUCUCGUGCAUGCGCGUUUCACAAUGCGUUCCGAUAUUCACAUAAGCAAUUUCUAUUUGUAUCUUCAAUUAUUAUUAUUAUUAUUAUUAUUAUUAUUAAUAUUAUUAUUAUUAUUAUUCUGAAGUGUGAACCCGUACCAGCAGCUUCAGUUCAUCUACUGGGCUGUGUCAUCAGAUAUUCUCAAACCUUUUGUUGUAUAUAGUCACGUCCCAGUGACAUUUAUUUUGUAUUUCUUGAAUCGUCGUUUCUACUUUUUAGCUCUCUCUUUACAGUGCAUCUAUUCUUUUGGGCAAUACUCAGUCAUAAUGUUGUGAUAGAUUCAAACGGCAUCAAUCUCAGAUCUAUUCACAUGAAGAAGUGUUAUACAUGUUACCACGAUAUUCAAUCGACACUCGUAAACUGACACCAUCAGCUCGAAAAGUUGAAAUAUCUCCCAUGUAAUAAACAAUACAUACAGUACUCUGAAUCAACUUCGAGGCCCAUUUAAGGCGUCAAAUAGCCGGAAUAUUGCCAAAAGCGGCGUAAAAACAAACUCACUCAAUUUGGAGAUAACUCGAGUCGGUUGUGUGCAAGGCAAGGAUUUAGCACCGUGUGUACAUAGUGUAGCGGAAAUGGACUAUUUUUUUCUCAAAUUUAUACAUUUCACUUUUUCUACAAAUAUCUCAAACGUCUAGUCCCAGGGUUGUCCUAUUAUAACAGUUUCUUGUGGUGACCUCGAGAUCAGGUAACAGCAUGAUCGUUUAUACCUUUUGUACAUGCCGUAACGAACACGUAGCAUUUUUCCUGUCCUCGCGUUCAGCACACAUUGCUUCCUUGUUUCCUUGACCAUGAGAAACAUGGCUGCUUUUAUAACGUCGUGCGGUAGAAACCUCCUCAUCUUCAUGAUCAGAAAUACCCAGGACGAUAAUAACUGGAGAGUGAGUGUUAUCUACCCCCAUCAGCAUCGCCUUCACACGUUUGUGUGGCAGCGACUAUUUAACUUCAUUUUCAAUUUUUGUGCUUGACCAAAAUGCGCUUUUCCCCACCGUGAUUUGAGUCACUAGCCUGUACCUUCAAAGUCCUGUGCUUGAAGAUAUUUAACGUGGGAGAUCGAUCAAGAUUUCCCCAAAUGUCCGUUGUGCGACACUUACGGAUGAUUAAAUAACAAACAUGCCUCUGUUGCAUUGUUAAAGUGCAGGAGCUGAACAGGUUUGAUUUUCAUUGUUUCAAUUAUUCAUAACCAUGUGUUUUGGUGUUUUGAUAAUUAAAGCGGUUAGAUGUUUUGCAUUUUUAAAACGUCCAAUAUCUUGAGUUACAAGCACCUAUAUGUUGAAAGGUCAAGAGAAACGUUAAUUUAACUGUUUUUCAAAAUAUAUAAGAGUUGAGUAACGUUACUUGGAAGUACUCAUUUAGACAUCCGUGUCCAUUCUGUGGUAAUAAUGCUCAUAUGAAACAAGAGACGCGGAUGGCCAGUCGUUUAAGGCGCCGCAAUUAGCUGUGCAGGGUUGCGUCCCUUGGACACACCAGAAACCAAUGAGUAUGGGUUCGAAUCCCGGUUCGACCCGAUUAUGUUUCUAGCUUUGUCAGCACCAUACCCGUGGGUGUCACCGAAGUGGUUAACGUCUUAGACCUGCAUCAUUUCGGGUUUCCCUCCAAAAUUAAGCAGACACGCUAUUAUAUCACUGGCCAGUUGUCUCAGGUGUUACCAGGAAAGCAGAAAAGGGGUUAAUCAAGGUACAGGGUAAUGAAUCCAUAUCAUACAAGGAUCAAAGUAUUUCAUGACCAUUUUCCGACGAUGUGACGUUAUUUUCGUCAGCAUGACUAUAUGCAUCUCGUACAUUUUUUGCUGCUGGGCCAUAGACAAUUUUUAUCAUACUUCGAAAAAAUAAUAUUAUAGUUCUAAGGCCAAAUGACUCCGUUUUUCAACUUUUUGCUGUUUCUUUCAAGACGUGUUUAUUCCUGCCAUUUUUUUCUGAGGCGAAAUUACAUUGCAUGACCUUCAUGGGUGAAGAUGACCUUAUAUGAGCGCACGCACGCACACACACACACACACACACACACACACACACACACACACACACACACAGGCACACACACACACACACAGGCACACACACACACACAGGCACACACACACACAGGCAGACACACACACACAGGCACACACACAGACACACACACACAGGCACACACACACGGACACACAAAACAGACAAGCGGGGUGUUCUCGUUACUCAUUACGGGUGAUAUGGCAGACAGAAACGCAUCAAUUAUACACGUGUUGACACAUUACUGGUGUAUAUUACACACAGUGAACACAAAAGGGUAGACUGGCAUUAAGUCCCAGAAAUAAAGUUAUCCCGAUUUAGAAUAUAUAUCAGCAAAAUAAAAACCAUAAAAUUUAAAAGGAGCCCCAAACAAUCCUUAAUUUCAGAGCUGAGGACAUCUCGACAAGCCAAAUCAUUCUAGACUUGAGUUGGACUAUUAAAAUUUAUUCUCUGAGGUCUGGGAUACAGACUAACACAUGGGGUGUAUUUUAACUCCAGACACACAUAGAUGGUACGCGUACAUAAACAUUAGGGGGGUACAGUAACUCCACACAAGGGCAGUACUCUACACAAUACACGUCACACACACAGGUGUACGCAUACAUACAGUAACUCCACACAAGGGGUGUACUCUACACAAUACACGUCACACACACAGGUGUACACAUACAUACAGUAACUCCACACAAGGGCAGUACUCUACACAAUACACGUCACACACACAGGUGUACACAUACAUACAGUAACUCCACACAAGGGCAGUACUCUACACAAUACACGUCACACACACAGGUGUACGCAUACAUACAGUAACUCCACACAAUGGGUGUACUCUACACAAUACACGUCACACACACAGGUGUACACAUACAUACAGUAACUCCACACAAGGGGUGUAUUCUACACAAUACACGUCACACACACAGGUGUACGCAUACAUACAGUAACGGGUAGUGUGGACUAACAGACACGGGGUAUAAACAGGAGGAAGCCAAAUCCGAACACAUGUGUACCUGUCGACAAACGAACUCCCCGACACACCCGAAAGUACCCGAAUAGAGACCACGUUUUGUUGCACGUUUCUCUGUCUUCCGCCGUUUGCUCAACACCGUUGGUUCAUAUUAAUCUGUAUUUUUGGUUUCCGGAUGCCUGUUCUUGAUAUUUCCUUACCAUGUAAAAUAAAUGAUUAUUCACCUACUCCUAA
Molecule: unclassified non-coding RNA, 7449 nt
Filed under: Haliotis rufescens (red abalone)
Lineage: Eukaryota; Metazoa; Mollusca; Gastropoda; Lepetellida; Haliotidae
Description: uncharacterized LOC124116371, transcript variant X2
Source: RNAcentral